UCCUACGGGGGGCAGCAGUGAGGAAUAUUGGUCAAUGGGCGCAAGCCUGAACCAGCCAUGCCGCGUGCAGGAAGAAUGCCCUAUGGGUUGUAAACUGCUUUUAUUUAGGAAUAAACUCUUGUACGUGUACAAGCCUGAAGGUACUAAAUGAAUAAGCACCGGCUAACUCCGUGCCAGCAGCCGCGGUAAUACGGAGGGUGCAAGCGUUAUCCGGAAUCAUUGGGUUUAAAGGGUCCGCAGGCGGAUUUAUAAGUCAGUGGUGAAAUCCUAUCGCUUAACGAUAGAACUGCCAUUGAUACUGUAGGUCUUGAAUUCGGUCGAAGUGGGCGGAAUGUGUAGUGUAGCGGUGAAAUGCAUAGAUAUUACACAGAACACCGAUAGCGAAGGCAGCUCACUAGGCCUGGAUUGACGCUCAGGGACGAAAGCGUGGGGAUCAAACAGGAUUAGAUACCCUGGUAGUCCACGCUGUAAACGAUGAUUACUCGUUUUCGGCGAUAUACAGUCGGAGACUAAGCGAAAGUGAUAAGUAAUCCACCUGGGGAGUACGAUCGCAAGGUUGAAACUCAAAGGAAUGACGG
This 578-nucleotide ribosomal RNA is filed under the name uncultured bacterium. RNAcentral describes it as "bacterial SSU rRNA". It matches the Rfam family "Bacterial small subunit ribosomal RNA", at positions 337 to 916 of the family's 1533-position model. The record is from RNAcentral.